RNAcentral lists this ribosomal RNA (492 nucleotides) under Clostridioides difficile. RNAcentral describes it as "bacterial SSU rRNA". It matches the Rfam family "Bacterial small subunit ribosomal RNA", at positions 327 to 841 of the family's 1533-position model. Lineage: Bacteria; Bacillati; Bacillota; Clostridia; Peptostreptococcales; Peptostreptococcaceae. The record is from RNAcentral.
CGGUCCAAACUCCUACGGGAGGCAGCAGUGGGGAAUAUUGCACAAUGGGCGAAAGCCUGAUGCAGCAACGCCGCGUGCGUGAUGAAGGCCUUCGGGUCGUAAAACUCUGUCCUCACGGAAGAUAAUGCCGGUACUUGAGGAGGAAGCCCCGGCUAACUACGUGCCAGCAGCCGCGGUCAUACGUAGGGGGCUCGCGUUAUCCGGAUUUACUGGGCGUACAGGGUGCGUAGGCGGUCUUUCAAGUCAGGAGGGAAAGGCUACGGCUCAACCGUAGUAAGCUCUUGAAACUGGGAGACUUGAGUGCAGGAGAGGAGAGUGGAGUUCCUAGUGUAGCGGUGAAAUGCGUAGAUAUUAGGAGGAACACCAGUUGCGAAGGCGGCUCUCUGGACUGUAACUGACGCUGAGGCACGAAAGCGUGGGGAGCAAACAGGAUUAGAUACCCUGGUAGUCCACGCUGUAAACGAUGAGUACUAGGUGUCGGGGGUUACCCCC